This 676-nucleotide unclassified non-coding RNA is filed under the name uncultured fungus. RNAcentral describes it as "sequence contains 18S rRNA gene, ITS1, 5.8S rRNA gene, ITS2, 28S rRNA gene". Lineage: Eukaryota; Fungi. The record is from RNAcentral.
CGUGACACGCGAUCGCAGAAUGGACCGCCACUCCACCGACGGCCAAGAAUCAUUCAAUAGGAGGACGCGCGGCUGGCAGCUGGCGAAUAUGUUGUGUGCCUCUCAUGCCGCAACAUGGAGACUGCAAUGCGCAAGGUUCUGAUCCGACUCACACAGGUGCUCGCACUCGCGAUGAUCGGCACGAGCUUCCUGGCGGAUGCGUCACUCGCCGAACCUAAAUGGCUCGUAAAGGAGCUAUGCGACAGAGCCGGCGGCGUAUUUGUUUUUGAUCGAAGCGGAAAAUAUAAUUGUUACUAUCCGCCGAGUUAUCUGAGCGACGGCGCCCAGUUUCAGUCAGUAAAGACUUGCACCGCCGACGGGGAGUGCGCAUGGGUCGAUUGGUGCGGAAACAGGAUUUGUCGCAGUCCCACGGUACGCGGCGACGGAACGAGACCUGCUAAACCAAAAAGGCUCGAAGGGCCAACGGUAAUGACCGCCGGAACGGUCAACGACCGUGGCAUGGGCGCGAAGAACGGCACUGCAUCGGGCGCGGUAGUGAACGGCACUCUGACCGCUGCGCCACCAAACCCGACGGCAUCGCCGACGGUGACUCAUCCCGGUGUUGCCAAUUCCGUCACGCCGAAGCCACCAUCGAUUUGGAAUGGUGGGACGCUUUGGGUUCGCAAGCCAUGAUGCG